GCUUUCUCUCCAUCCAGCUGUAAACACUUCUCACAAUUUUCUAGAAUGGUGCAUUGAAUGUUUCAAGUUUAUUAAGUGAUCCCUCUGGUGAUAUCGCUAACGAUCGCUGGGAUGCUGGAAAGGCUCAAAACAAACCGGACGAGAAUUCUUGGCACUCAACUCCAUUGUUAUUGAGUUGCUUAUUGGUUAUCAUACUAGAUCAGGGAUCAUGUGCCGAUCCAAACUUCCGGCGAGCUGUAGGAGUUGUGAGCUUUUCCAACGGCUCUUUUUUCAAACUUUUGAGGUAACUGACUGACUGAUUGAUUUUAUGUUUUCUCAACAAUUAUUAAUUUGGACGUCUAACUGCUCUGUUUCCUACCUGAUAACUUGUUUCUUUCCUUCUUUUUCUUUGUUUGUUUUGUACAGUAAACAUCAAAAUUUGUGGUCCAUCCAUCCAUCAUCAUAUGCUUUGCUUUGCUUGCCCUCAAAUCAUGCUUCACCAUCAAGUUCUCUGCCUCUUUGUCUCGAACCUCCAUCAAACUACAACCAGAAGAUGAUACACUAAACAAAAAGUGAUAAAAGCUUCAAAUUUAUAGCCAAUAUAUAGUUACUUUCUUACAACACUACUUCAAUUGUCAAGCACCGACCAUUCACAAUCUUUCAUUUAUUUCAUUAAUUAUUUUACUCUUGUUUAGCAAUUUAUACCGUGUUGAUUACUGCUAGAUGUG
RNAcentral lists this long non-coding RNA (707 nucleotides) under Linum usitatissimum (flax). Its description in RNAcentral is "long non-coding RNA (LUSI_LNC008034)". The record is from RNAcentral. Lineage: Eukaryota; Viridiplantae; Streptophyta; Magnoliopsida; Malpighiales; Linaceae.